This 255-nucleotide ribosomal RNA is filed under the name uncultured bacterium. Its description in RNAcentral is "partial small subunit ribosomal RNA". It matches the Rfam family "Bacterial small subunit ribosomal RNA", at positions 26 to 285 of the family's 1533-position model. The record is from RNAcentral.
AGGACGAACGCUGGCGGCGUGCUUAACACAUGCAAGUCGAGCGGAAAGGCCCUUCGGGGUACUCGAGCGGCGAACGGGUGAGUAACACGUGAGUAAUCUGCCCCUAGCUCUGGGAUAGCUCCGGGAAACCGGGAUUAAUACCAGAUACAACCACUUUUAGACAUCUCUUGUGGUGGAAAGAAUUUCGGCUAGGGAUGAACUCGCGGCCUAUCAGCUUGUUGGUGAGGUAACGGCUCACCAAGGCGACGACGGGUA